This 1243-nucleotide ribosomal RNA is filed under the name human metagenome. Its description in RNAcentral is "bacterial LSU rRNA". It matches the Rfam family "Bacterial large subunit ribosomal RNA", at positions 1666 to 2925 of the family's 2925-position model. The record is from RNAcentral.
GGUAGGAAGAAGAUUCUAAGGCCAACGGGAGAAGGGUUGUUAAGGAACUCGGCAAAUUGACCCCGUAACUUCGGGAGAAGGGGUGCUCCAGAGAUGGAGCCGCAGAGAAUCGGCCCAAGCAACUGUUUACCAAAAACACAGGUUUGUGCUAAAUCGAAAGAUGACGUAUACGAGCUGACGCCUGCCCGGUGCUGGAAGGUUAAGAGGAGAUGUGCAAGCAUUGAAUCGAAGCCCCAGUGAACGGCGGCCGUAACUAUAACGGUCCUAAGGUAGCGAAAUUCCUUGUCAGGUAAGUUCUGACCCGCACGAAAGGCGUAAUGAUUUGGGCACUGUCUCAACAGCCCGCCCGGCGAAAUUGUAGUACCGGUGAAGAUGCCGGUUACCCGCGACAAGACGGAAAGACCCCAUGGAGCUUUACUGUAGCCUAAUAUUGGGUUUCGAUGUUGCAUGCACAGGAUAGAUGGGACACAGGGAAACAAUCGCUUUGGCGGUUGCGGAGUGGCCGUUGGGAUACCAUCCUUGCGAUAUUGGAAUUCUAACCUGCGGCUCUGAAUCGAGUCGGGGGACAUUGUUAGGUGGGCAGUUUGACUGGGGCGGUCGCCUCCUAAAGAGUAACGGAGGCGUUCAAAGGUUCGCUCAGCUUGAACGGAAAUCAAGCAAAAGAGUGCAAACGCAGAAGCGAGCCUAACUGCGAGACUGACGGGUCGAGCAGUAACGAAAGUUGGAGUUAGUGAUCCGGUGGUAUGUGAGUGGAAAUGCCAUCGCUCAACGGAUAAAAGCUACCCUGGGGAUAACAGGCUGAUCUCCCCCAAGAGUCCACAUCGACGGGGAGGUUUGGCACCUCGAUGUCGGCUCAUCGCAUCCUGGGGCUGAAUUCGGUCCCAAGGGUUUGGCUGUUCGCCAAUUAAAGCGGUACGCGAGCUGGGUUCAGAACGUCGUGAGACAGUUCGGUCCCUAUCUGUCGUGGGCGCAGGAUAUUUGAUGGGAGCUGUUCCUAGUACGAGAGGACCGGAGCGGACGUACCUCUGGCGCACCAGUUGUUCUGCCAAGGGCAUAGCUGGGCAACUAUGUACGGAUCGGAUAAACGCUGAAAGCAUCUAAGCGUGAAGCCGACCCAAAGAUAAGAUAUCCCAUUGUUUCAAACAAGUAAGACCCCUUGAAGACUACAAGGUUGAUAGGCACGAUGUGUAAGUGGAGUGAUCCAUUCAGCAAGUGUGUACUAAUAGAUCGAGGGCUUGACCAC